RNAcentral lists this long non-coding RNA (7090 nucleotides) under Homo sapiens (human). RNAcentral describes it as "HSALNT0129281". Lineage: Eukaryota; Metazoa; Chordata; Mammalia; Primates; Hominidae. The record is from RNAcentral.
AUUUUCUCGUGGUGUGUGUGUCAUUUCAAUAACAAAGGUUUCAACAUGGUUGAAAUUUUCCUCUUUUCCUGGCCAGAGCAGCAGAAACACCUGUUACCUAUGUUCCUGUUUUCAACACCCAAAUUCAGAUGAUUUGGGUGUUAAACUGUUUCCUGGAAAUUUUUGGAAACAAGACUCGGAAAGAGGUUUUAUGCUGCUGGCAAUGAACACAAAUUCAUAUAAUGUUGCACCUACAGGUGGCUGCUGAGUGCCUUUUGAACUUCAGAGGAAGGCUUGUGUGAGCAAGGCAGAGACCUUAUGUUGGAGAUGGAAUGCUGCAAAAUGCAUGGAACUGUCCACCACCACUGUGCUGAAAUCAAGUGGAUCAAGGAGAUGUGGCACGUUGCAUCAUGACCAUCUGCUGCAGAGAUGUCCACGCAGCUGAGUAGGAGUAGGAUUGAACUUUGGCCUCAGGCUGUGAUGCAUGCUGUUGGACUGAUCCCUUCUGCUGCUGCUACUCAGAUCCCCUGGCUGGACUUGCAGCUCCUGGGGGAACACAUGCCUCAUGUCCUGGAAAGAACACAGUUCUGGAGUCAGAGGCCAUCAUUUCAUCUGGGCUAACUGUGUCUUGGUCCCUGACUAAUAUUGAGGCAAUGAAUGCAGAGUAUAGCUCAGCCCCAUCCUGGUUGAGAAAUUUCAAACAUACCAGGAAAGUAAAAGAUACGAGAGCCUUAACAAGGUUGUAAAUAUACAUGAAGUCAUCCUCUGCCUUUCUUCUUUCCUUGAGGCUAUGAUCUUUGCUACACGGGCUACAAUCUGAGUGUGGAGUGCUAAUUGCCAAAUUGACUUUACUGAGAAACAAAACAGAAGAAAAUAGAACUUAAUUUUCAAAUGUCAGUUAAAAACCCAUAUUAAGUGCAAGCAAUAUAAAAGACAAAGAAAACAAAAAGGGAACAUCGAACCCCACUGAAACAUACUUGGCAGGGAAAAGCAUUGCCUCAACUUUUCCCUGCUCAGAUUUUAAGGCCUCUUCAAGAGGACUCUUGGAUGACUCUGAAAUUAAGGUACAGACCAAUUUAGCCAAUCCAAGGAAAGCAGAGAAUAAACAAUUGAAGUGAGAAGGUCCCGAGGUCCUAAGUAUGUCUGGCGAUCUCUUCUACCACUCCUUGACUCUUUGGAGCACACCCUGACAGUGACUCAUUUGCAACUGGUCCAUGUAGGUAAGCCUUAACUUUUCUACCCUCCAAUCCCACACCUGCAAGUUCAACACCUGGAAUGUGAGAGUUGUCACAGGAUGGGCACUCCAGGAAUUAGGGGAUUUACUGGGAGGGCUCUGGGGAUUGAUACAAAUGAAAGAGAAGAGACUUCCAGUAGCAAGAUUGGGCCAAAGGAGAAGUAGAGCUGUGAGGCAGGCUCAACAAUGGUUUUGGCUAACACUAUGGGGAGCUUCAGAACUUCCCCUGUUGGUGCAAGAGAACUUGGCUUUUAAGCUCCCUGUGGAUCAAUCACUGGAUGCUGAUUGCUGUGGGAAGGAAGCAUGACACUGAGCAAGGUGGCUCUCCAGCAAUUUAUAAAAGGGGCUGACAGCUGCCUACAGCUCUUAGCAGCUGGGGCAACAAUUCCUCCUUUCUUAAAGGAGGAUCUAAGUGAUACAUCACAGCAUCCGUCGCAAGGACACUAAGACAGACACUGAUAAUUCCAGCAAAAGAGUAGAAAUCAGAUGAGAAAGGGGAGCCCAGCAGACCCAGAUUCCCUAGUGCCUCCAGCCCUUCCAGAUGGUCCAUUGGCAGGAAGCUUGCUAUACAAAUCCAUCAGGCUCUGGAAGAUGCAAGACAAAAGCUGAGAGGUAAGCUUAAAUCUUCUUUUUGCUGGUGGCUGCAUGGCCCGACUCUGAUACAAAGGCAAUGUCCACUAGCAACAGGGAAGCCAGAAACAGCUCCAAAAAUUGAUUCUACAAAGGAAGGACGUGAUUCAGAGUAAGCUGUUGUCUUCAUUGUCUCUAAGGAACCUGUGCUUUCAAAGCUCAGAUUGGUUUAACUCAACUACCUUGGAAUGUGGUAAGCAGCAAAGGCAAGUUCACCAAGAUUUCAGUCAUGUUAUAAGGGCUGAGCCAUGCUGGGCAUUGCUCUCUCAGUGACUCUUAUCAAAAUAAGGAUGACUCAGAUUCUUGAGUUAGCUUCUCUGAAAGCCUUCUACUUGCAGCAACUGGAGCCUGAAUUCCAGUAUCAACAAGGCAAUAGAUGCUCAUGAAAUGGGACUAACCCUAGAAUGAGAAACAGAUCCACAGAGAGAAAGUCUGAUCAUUCCUAGGUUUGGCUAUCCUUUUCCAGCUCUUCACUCCAGCAUUUUAAGCUUGGCCUGCAUAAGGAGACCUGGGGCCUGGAAUGAAGCUCUGGUCUCAGGGAGCUCCAAGUGAGAUGAUCAUGGUUGAAGAAGGUCCAAAUGAAGUCAGGUGUGGAGGACUGACCUGCUAUUUUCCGGGAUGACCUUUUGAGUCAUGAAAAACCAGGGAGUUAUGAGCCAAAUGGCAGGCCUUAUCUAUUUGGAUCAUCUUGAUUUUAGAAGGAUCUCCCUCUGUUGCCCAAGCUGGAUCAGAGUUCACUGCAACCUCUGCCUCCCAGGCUCAAGCAAUUUUCCCAUCUCAGCCUCCUGAGUAGCUGGGACUACAAGUACGGGCCACCACACCCAGAUAAUUUUUUUUUUUUUUUUAAGAGACGGGGUUUUGCCAUUUUGCCCAGGCUGGUCUUGAACCCCUGGGCUCAAGCAGUCCUCCCUGCUCUGACUCCCAACGUGCUGGGAUGACAGUUGUGAGCCACUGUGCCUGGCCCCAGCUGAAAUCUUAAAAGGGACCCAAUGCUAUAUUUGCAGUUAUGGUUCUAAGCCAUGACUUAGGCCUGGAGGAACUCCUGCAAGGGAAACCGUGCAGAUGAAAUGGGACAGCCACCCGGGCUCAGUCAUAUCUUGUCACGGGGGAUGCCGUAUACAGUUAAACAGUUUGUGCACUGCACAGCUCCAGGGCUGUAUUUACACAGACCACAAUGUGAUCGGCUAUCUAAUCCCUCACAUGCUUCCUCUGGGAGGUCUUUUCUGAUCCUCUCACAGUCCACGGGACUCUCCCUUCAGUGGACACUCAAAGAUGCUACCAGACGCGCCUCUGACCCCAGUCUCCAGAAAGGACCACGCCCUCCAGAAGAAUUCUCACUGGUGAAAUCUGAAGACCCUAGAUGAGCUGCCAAGGGUGAACCAAGAAGGGGGCUUUAACUCCUCAAGUAAAACCCAGUCCCCUCAGUGAUGUUGAACUACCCAUAGAAAAACCACAUCGAGGCCAGUUGUGGUGACUCAAGACUGUAAUCCCAGCAUUUUGGGAGGCUGAGGUGGGUGGAUCACUUGAGGUCAGGAGUUCGAGCCCAGCCUGGCCAACAUGGUGAAACCCUGUCUCUACUAAAAAUACAAAAAUUGGCCUGCCGUGGUGGCGUGUAUCUGUAGUCCCAGCUACUUGGGAGGCUGAGGCAGGAGAAUCACUUCAACCUGGGAGGCAGAGGGUGUAGUGAGCUGAGAUUGCACCACUGCACUCCAGCCUGGGCGAAAGAGUGAGACUCUGUCUCAAAAAAAAAAAAACAAGAAAAGAAAAACCACAUCGAGGUGGGCCAGGGAGGACCCAGCCAUUGCCACAGAGGUGUUCAAAUGCAACCUCCUCUUGCAUAUGAAGGGAGAUCAGCUGACAGUUUAGCUUGAAACUCUCAGGAUACCAGAAUUCCCUACUUAGGAGCUGGGGCCAGAGCCAGCCAUGUGCAUUUGUUCAGGCUUCAGACAUCCUUCCUUAGGAGCCAUCAGGAACUGGACUUAGUUGAGCUGCGACUAAAUUUCAUCUUGCUUCGAACAAGAGACUGCAACCUUCCCAUUAAUACCACUCAGGCCCGAGCCAGAAUCCCCCUGUAGCUAUGACCUGCUCACUUGAUUACCCACUCAGCCUGGUUGGUACAACACCCCACCCCCAUCACUGCUCCUGGCCCACCCUCUAGGACCAUAGACAGCCCAGGACAAAGCAGCUGUACUAAUAGUAUGAGACACCGCAUAUGUUACCUGUGAAAUCUAGUAUAUAUCACACUCCACCACCUCAGUCUGGUGGACAGAGGCCAGCUUGCUUUGAUCUUUCCAUCCCCAGGGGCUAGUGCAGUGAGGAACACAUAGUGGGAGUUCAAAAAGCAUUUGUUAAUACUGCCAUGCAUAUAAAACAAAGUUUAAAAUUUCCUAAAGUAAUAAAAGGAGCAUAGCUCUAGUAUCAUCUAUUUUUUAUUACGUUGUGUUUACACGCCUCUGGUUAGUAACCCAAACCUGUUUCCAUGGUGAAUGUGACAAGACUAUGUAAUUAUGGGUCUGUAACUUUUUCUUUUUCUCUUUCUUUGGAAAAAGCUAUGUGAUUGCAGGACUAUAACUGUAUCUUCCUUUGUAAACUAUUCCUAAAUGUUAUCUUGUAGCUAACCUGUCACAGCCAAGGGCCUCCUAGAGUAGGCUUCUCCUGCCAGAAAGUUGGCUAUUUCGUGCAAAGUUCUUAUAAAUGUUUAAGGAGAACUAAGGCAGAAAAAUUAAAGGCCAGAAUGAGAAAAAGAGAAAUAACAUUUUUGUGGAGCUAACUUAUGCCAGAAUCUAUAUGGCCUCAUUUAAUCCUCACAACCCUUAUUUCACAGAUGAGAAAACUAAGGCUCAGAGAGGUUGCCUGAAGAGACGCCCCCAUUGAAUCCCCUGCGUUCCAGACACACUCCUCCCUACUUUAUUUAUUUAUUUAUUUUGAGACGAAGUUUUGCUCUUGUUGCCCAGGCUGGAGUGCAAUGGUGUGAUCUCAGCUCACCACAACCUCCACCUCCCAGGUUCAAGCGAUUCUCCUGCCUCAGCCUCCUGAGUAGCUGGGUUUACAGGCAUGUGCCAUCACACCCAGCUAAUUUUGUAUUUUUAGUAGAGAUGGGUUUCUCCAUGUUGGUCAGGCUGGUCUUGAACUCCCGACCUCAGGUGAUCCACCCGCCUCGGCCUCCCAAACUGCUUUGAUUACAGGUGUGAGCCACCGCACCCAGCCUCUCCUCCCUACUUUAAUCGUGUAGCAGUAGCUCCUUGUGGCAAUCAGGGUCCUUUACCCUUGCUAGUGUAGUAAUUCCUUUCUUAGUUACCUCGUCCUUCAGUAUGAGGAUCCCAGAGUGAUCAGGUGGUAGUGGCCACUUCAAGUUCAACGAGUAAGUCCCAUGGCAUUCAUUCAUCCACUCCGCACUCCACCACGGAUACUAGCUGUGGGGAAAUAGCACCACAUGCCUUGUUUUGGCUCAAUGCAUUUCUAUAUCAUAGCGCAAAUCCAGCAGAGUGUUAUCUCUGAAAUGGAGCCUUACUGGGGAUGACACUGUAUUGGUCCGUUUUCACACUGCCAUAAAGAAUACUUGAGACUGGAUAAUUUAGAAACAAAAGAGGUUUAAUUGACUUACAGUUCUGCGUGGUUGGGGAAGCCUCAGGAAACUUACAAUCAUGGCGGAAGGUGAAGGGGAAGCAAGGCACGUCUUACAUGGCACCGAGACAGAGAGAGAGAGAGCGCACAGGGGAAACUGAAACUUUAAAACCAUCAGAUCUCAUGAGAACUCCCUCACUAUCAUGAGAACAGCAUGGCGGAAACCGCCCCCAUGAUUCAGUCACCUCCCACCAGCUCCCUCCCUGCAAUAUGGGUAUUACAAUUCAAGAUGAGAUUUGGGUGGGGACACAGAGCCAAAUCAUAUCAGACACUCCUUAAUAAGGUGUUCUAUUAAGGUGGUUGCUUCUGAAUAAUGGGGUACAUUGUCAGACCAGAGGAUUCUGGGUUAUGUGUCCAUUGUUGCACUCUCCCUGCCCUUUAUUUUAUUUUAUUUUAUUUUAUUUAUUUAUUUAUUUUUGAGAAAGAGCUUCACUCUGUUGCCCAGGCUGGAGUGCAGUGGCACAAUCUUGGCUCACUGCAACCUCCACCUCCCAGGUUCAAGUGAUUCUUGUGCAUCACCCUCCCAAGUAGCUGGGAUUACAUGUGCGCACCACCACACCUGGCUAAUUUUUGUAUUUUUAGUAGAGAUGGGGUUUUACCAUGUUGGCCAGGCUGGUCUCAAACUCCUGGCCUCAAGUGAUCUGCCCAUCUUGGACUCCCAAAGUGCUGGGAUUAUAGGCAUGAACCACAAUACCCAGCCUGUUGCACCCCUUUGUCAUAAAAAUGGGCCCUUUCUUCUGAGACAGUGUUGUGCUGUGUACCAUGCUAAGAGGCCAAGCAUCUUGUAGACCAAUAAUGGUAGCUCUUAUGGAGGCAUGGUGGGCUGGAAAAGAAAAUAUAACUGGAGUAAGUAUCAAUUUUGUUAAGGGACAAUUUCUACUUCCUCUGGCAUAAAAGAGUCUGAGAUAAUCAACCUGCCACAAAUGUCCUUGACGAACUUUGUGAUAUCAACGUUUCAAGGUCAGUUCUUGCUGUGGGUUAACCUGGGUGAGAGGGAACCCAUGUUGUUGGACCCAUACAUAGCUUCCAUCCCUGCCACCACAGGCACUCUGUUUGUGCAUUCAUUAUGCCACCACUGGAGUGGCUUAGGAGACAGGCUGGCUGACAUCCAUAGGAUAAGUCAUCCUGUCCAUCCACCUGGCUGUUGAGAGCCUUCUCUGCAAGGGAUGCUCCCUGUUGGGCAUCAAUGUGAGAUCCAAAGAUCUAGAUGCUUUUUACUUAUUCCCAGAAGUCCAUCCACAUGCCCUUUCCCCAGACAUCCUUGUCCCAUAUCUUCCAGUCUUACUCCUUUCAAGUUCCUGGCCAACCAGCCAAAGCAUUCAUUGCCGCCCCCAGAAUUCUUGUUAAUCCACACCUUAGGCUAGUUUUCCUCCCAUAAAAAAUGAAACAAUUAAAUUUACUACUGUUCUCUGCUUUACCUACCAGGAAAAUGUUCCUUUAACCACUGUACUUUAUAAAAUAAAUGUUUGGCCAAAACCAAUAAUUAAUGCCAACUCAUCUAUGAGAAAAUUUUCUCUCCCUUUAUUGGAUAUAGGAUGAAAGGGACUAGGACCCCUCUCCCCCACCAAUAAAGCCAGUGAUGUGAGUUGAGAGAGACAUACUGUUGCAACAAGGGUACUGAGU